AUCCAAUUCCCUCUCAGGUUGACCACUUGACAUGUGAGAGCUUGAGUAGUUGUUCCCCCUCCGUCCAUGUUCGAGGACUUGCUCCACUGUUGAGUUGACCACCCUAUAUAUGAGAGCCUAAGGAGUUGUUUUCCCUCUGUCACCUUUUGAGGACCUGCUUUGUCUCCUCCAUCAUUCACUGGGCCACUUUUUGGUUCCUGAGCUUAUUUCAUGUGCUUUUCCUGACCUGCUAGAAGUUCUUCUAUGAUGCUUGAGUCAUCCAUCAUAUCUGAGAGCUUCGUCUUGACUUUGUGAGUUUAUUAUGCAACUUGUUUUGUCUCAGAUUGAAACAAAAGGUUUGAUUAUGAUUA
This is a long non-coding RNA of Gymnodraco acuticeps, 350 nucleotides long. RefSeq lists it as uncharacterized. Lineage: Eukaryota; Metazoa; Chordata; Actinopteri; Perciformes; Bathydraconidae. The transcript has 3 exons. The record is from RefSeq and is a predicted model, not a curated record.